GGGCCCGUAGCUCAGCCAGGUAGAGCGGCGGACCACACUUGCCGUGGGCUGAAGCUCUUAACCCGUCGGUCGCGGGUUCGAAUCCCGCCGGGCCCGCCA
This 99-nucleotide transfer RNA is filed under the name marine sediment metagenome. It matches the Rfam family "tRNA". From Rfam's summary of the family: Transfer RNA (tRNA) molecules are approximately 80 nucleotides in length. The record is from RNAcentral.